UCGAGGAUCUUCGGCAAUGGGCGCAAGCCUGACCGAGCGACGCCGCGUGUGCGAUGAAGGCCUUCGGGUUGUAAAGCACUGUCGAGGGGGAGGAAGCCGCAAGGUUGACCUAUCCCUGGAGGAAGCACGGGCUAAGUUCGUGCCAGCAGCCGCGGUAAGACGAACCGUGCGAACGUUGUUCGGAAUCACUGGGCUUAAAGGGCGCGUAGGCGGACUGCCAAGUCCGGGGUGAAAUCUUUCGGCUCAACCGGAAAAUAGCCUCGGAGACUGGCGGUCUGGAGGGGGGUAGGGGCAGCUGGAACUUCCGGUGGAGCGGUGAAAUGCGUUGAUAUCGGAAGGAACGCCGGUGGCGAAAGCGAGCUGCUGGACCUUUUCUGACGCUGAGGCGCGAAAGCCAGGGGAGCAAACGGGAUUAGAUACCCCCGUAGUCC
Molecule: ribosomal RNA, 431 nt
Filed under: uncultured bacterium
Lineage: Bacteria
Description: bacterial SSU rRNA
Rfam family: Bacterial small subunit ribosomal RNA
Source: RNAcentral